AUGGUACCUAUCAUGGCGCCCGUGAUUCUCCACGUCCCGAUCCUUUCUGAGCACAUCCGUUUAAAUCAGAUCCAUGUCAUUUAGCAAAGACGUAGCUAGCCCGCUGCCUGGGCCAUGCCAUUACAUGACUGCCCUGCAGUGUAUCAGUGUAACAGACAGGUACAGUUUGAUUCGUCAAAUUUGGUAGGGUGGGUUUAAGUAAGGAUUUCGCUAUCGGUGCUUUGCGACAACACAGAAGGCACUUUCAGGCUAGCAGUUUUCAGGAGUGAAUGAUUAAUCUCCUUACCGAUCGACAGUAUGUCCGAAGUGUGCGUUUUCGCUCCGCAGUCGUGACUACUCCAUUUACUUCUCCCUAUCCUGCGAAUACAGCACAACAUGAGUAGAAUCCCUGUGGAGUUCAGAAGGUCCAACGGGAUCUCACACACACUAAUGUUUUUUUCAGAUGAUUUAGCAGUCCACAAGCUGAACUGUUCUACCAUCGCUUCAGAGGACAAUUCAUGUACCCUUACACGAUGAGAGAAAGAUGUGCUCCGUCCCUGGACUAGUUCUGCACCACCCUGCUGGGAUACUGGCUGGGGUUUGAACUGGCACACUCUAGAUUCAAUAUCAGAUCUUUGGCCGCAUCGCUGCUUGAAACCACUGUAUUAGGAGGACAGCAGGAUGAGCCGCAUGGCAUCUCUCUGAGAUCGCACUGUUUCUGUGUUUCUGUGCC
This is a long non-coding RNA of Conger conger (European conger), 712 nucleotides long. RefSeq lists it as uncharacterized. The record is from RefSeq and is a predicted model, not a curated record. Lineage: Eukaryota; Metazoa; Chordata; Actinopteri; Anguilliformes; Congridae. The transcript has 4 exons.